RNAcentral lists this ribosomal RNA (301 nucleotides) under uncultured bacterium. RNAcentral describes it as "partial 16S ribosomal RNA". It matches the Rfam family "Bacterial small subunit ribosomal RNA", at positions 509 to 807 of the family's 1533-position model. The record is from RNAcentral.
CAGUAGCCGCGGUAAUACGGAGGGGGCUAGCGUUAUUCGGAAUUACUGGGCGUAAAGCGCACGUAGGCGGCUUCGCAAGUCAGAGGUGAAAGCCUGGGGCUCAACUCCAGAAUUGCCUUUGAGACUGCGUCGCUCGAAUCCGGGAGAGGUGAGUGGAAUUCCGAGUGUAGAGGUGAAAUUCGUAGAUAUUCGGAAGAACACCAGUGGCGAAGGCGGCUCACUGGACCGGCAUUGACGCUGAGGUGCGAAAGCGUGGGGAGCAAACAGGAUUAGAUACCCCAGUAGUCCCUGUCUCUUAUAC